GACCGCGAGCCGGCAAUCACUCAGGUCAUAAAAUUUGAUUCGGUGUAAAAUUACCUCUACUCGCCCGAAUCUUGUGGAUUGCCGAGUCUCGUUUAGUUGAGUUUUACAAUGAUGGCUCAUGAGCGUGCUGCAAAUCUAGCCCUCUUUGCUUUAACCUUGGCGCCACUUGUCAUGAAAGUAAAUCCCAAUUUGAAUGUCAUAUUAACCGCAUGUCUGACUGUUUAUGUUGGCUGCUAUCGGUCAGUCAAGCCAACGCCACCAUCCGAGACAAUGUCAAAUGAACAUGCUAUGCGCUUUCCUUUGGUUGGGAGUGCUAUGCUCUUAUCAUUAUUUCUCCUCUUCAAGUUUGUUUCCAAGGAUUUGGUCAAUGCUGUGCUCACAGGAUACUUUUUCGUUCUCGGUAUCAUCGCUCUUUCAGCGACAUUGUUACCUGCAAUUAAGCGGUUUCUACCAGACCACUGGAAUGAAGGCCUCAUUGUUUGGCGUGCUCCGUAUUUCCACUCUGCUUCUGUGGAGUUCACCAAAUCUCAAGUUGUUGCCGCCAUUCCAGGAACAUUUUUCUGUGUGUGGUAUGCUUUUAAGAAGCAUUGGUUGGCGAACAAUACUCUGGGGAUUGCCUUCUGCAUUCAGGGAAUUGAAAUGUUAUCAUUGGGCUCAUUUAAAACUGGCAGCAUUCUUCUGGCUGGAUUGUUCUUCUAUGAUAUCUUUUGGGUUUUCUUUACCCCGGUUAUGGUUAGUGUGGC
Molecule: unclassified non-coding RNA, 743 nt
Filed under: Hevea brasiliensis (rubber tree)
Lineage: Eukaryota; Viridiplantae; Streptophyta; Magnoliopsida; Malpighiales; Euphorbiaceae
Source: RNAcentral